Molecule: transfer RNA, 73 nt
Filed under: Camelus bactrianus (Bactrian camel)
Lineage: Eukaryota; Metazoa; Chordata; Mammalia; Artiodactyla; Camelidae
Also listed under: 1 other name
Rfam family: tRNA
About the family: Transfer RNA (tRNA) molecules are approximately 80 nucleotides in length. Their secondary structure includes four short double-helical elements and three loops (D, anti-codon, and T loops).
Source: Rfam by way of RNAcentral
GUGUGUAUAGCUUAGGUGAUAGAGCACAUGCUUAGGAAGCACAAGGUCCUGGGUUCAAUCCCCAGCACCUCCA